Molecule: ribosomal RNA, 497 nt
Filed under: uncultured bacterium
Lineage: Bacteria
Description: partial 16S ribosomal RNA
Rfam family: Bacterial small subunit ribosomal RNA
Source: RNAcentral
GAUGAACGCUGGCGGCGUGCCUAAUACAUGCAAGUCGAGCGAACAGACGAGGAGCUUGCUCCUCUGACGUUAGCGGCGGACGGGUGAGUAACACGUGGAUAACCUACCUAUAAGACUGGGAUAACUUCGGGAAACCGGAGCUAAUACCGGAUAAUAUAUUGAACCGCAUGGUUCAAUAGUGAAAGACGGUUUUGCUGUCACUUAUAGAUGGAUCCGCGCCGCAUUAGCUAGUUGGUAAGGUAACGGCUUACCAAGGCAACGAUGCGUAGCCGACCUGAGAGGGUGUACGGCCCCAGUGGAACUGAGACGCGGCCCAGACUCCUACGGGAGGCAGCAGUAGGGAAUCUUCCGCAAAGGGCGAAAGCUUGACGGAGCAACGCCGCGUGAGUGAUGAAGGUCUUCGGAUCGUAAAACUCUGUUAUUAGGGAAGAACAAAUGUGUAAGUAACUAUGCACGUCUUGACGGUACCUAAUCAGAAAGCCACGGCUAACUACGUG